GAUGAACGCUAGCGAUAGGCUUAACACAUGCAAGUCGAGGGGUAACGUGUUGGAAGCUUGCUUCCGAUGACGACGACCGGCGGAUGGGUGCGUAACGCGUAUGCAACUUGCCUCACAGUGGAGAAUAACCCGGAGAAAUCCGGACUAAUACUCCAUACACUCUUAAGUACGCCUGUACAUGAGAGGAAAGAUUUAUCGCUGUGAGAUAGGCAUGCGUCCUAUUAGGUAGUUGGUGAGGUAACGGCUCACCAAGCCGACGAUAGGUAGGGGUGCUGAGAGGCAGAUCCCCCACAUUGGGAAUGAGACACGGCCCAAAAUCCUACGGGAGGCAGCAGUGAGGAAUAUUGGUCAAUGGAGGAAACUCUGAACCAGCCAAGUCGCGUGAAGGAAGAAUGUCCUAAGGAUUGUAAACUUCUUUAGCGAGCGAGUAAGGACUUCCACGUGAUGGGAGUUUGAAAGUAGCUCGAGAAUAAGUAUCGGCUAACUCCGUG
This 491-nucleotide ribosomal RNA is filed under the name uncultured bacterium. RNAcentral's name for it is "partial 16S ribosomal RNA". It matches the Rfam family "Bacterial small subunit ribosomal RNA", at positions 28 to 507 of the family's 1533-position model. The record is from RNAcentral.